CACAUGCAAGUCGAGGGGCAGCAUGAACUUAGCUUGCUAAGUUUGAUGGCGACCGGCGCACGGGUGAGUAACACGUAUCCAACCUGCCGAUGACUCGGGGAUAGCCUUUCGAAAGAAAGAUUAAUACCCGAUGGCAUAGUUCUUCCGCAUGGUAGAACUAUUAAAGAAUUUCGGUCAUCGAUGGGGAUGCGUUCCAUUAGGUUGUUGGCGGGGUAACGGCCCACCAAGCCUUCGAUGGAUAGGGGUUCUGAGAGGAAGGUCCCCCACAUUGGAACUGAGACACGGUCCAAACUCCUACGGGAGGCAGCAGUGAGGAAUAUUGGUCAAUGGACGAGAGUCUGAACCAGCCAAGUAGCGUGAAGGAUGACUGCCCUAUGGGUUGUAAACUUCUUUUAUACGGGAAUAAAGUGAGGCACGUGUGCCUUUUUGUAUGUACCGUAUGAAUAAGGAUCGGCUAACUCCGUGCCAGCAGCCGCGGUAAUACGGAGGAUCCGAGCGUUAUCCGGAUUUAUUGGGUUUAAAGGGAGCGUAGGCGGACGCUUAAGUCAGUUGUGAAAGUUUGCGGCUCAACCGUAAAAUUGCAGUUGAUACUGGGUGUCUUGAGUACAGUAGAGGCAGGCGGAAUUCGUGGUGUAGCGGUGAAAUGCUUA
Molecule: ribosomal RNA, 650 nt
Filed under: uncultured bacterium
Lineage: Bacteria
Description: bacterial SSU rRNA
Rfam family: Bacterial small subunit ribosomal RNA
Source: RNAcentral